UAGUAGAAUAAGCUAAUAAAGCUAGUGGGUUCAUACCCCAAAUAUGAGUUAGACCUCUUCUGCUAG
Molecule: transfer RNA, 66 nt
Filed under: Sypharochiton sinclairi
Lineage: Eukaryota; Metazoa; Mollusca; Polyplacophora; Chitonida; Chitonidae
Description: tRNA-Met
Source: RNAcentral